ACCUGGGAGGCAGAGGUUGCAGUGAGCCGAGAUUGCACCACUGCACUCCAGCCUGCCUGGGCGACACAGUGAGACUCAUCUAAAAAAAAAGAGAGAGAGAGAUUGAGAGUUGGGGAGAGAAGAUUGUUUCCUGAAGGAAAAAUUGGGAUGCUGUUAUCCAAAAACAGGGGAAGAUACAUUGGGUAGGCAAAACAACAGUUAUCCAUAAUACCUGUUAUAAAUAAAUCAUUUUAAAAUAACAUUAAAAAGAGGGAGAACUUGCACUGUCUUAACUUAUUGAUGUUUGAUAUGUCAUAUAAUUUCUUGCCAGGUAGGAGCAGCACUUAGACCAGCCUUCACUUCAGAGACACCACCUGAUGUCACUGCCAAAGCAUGUCAGGUUUGCAGUGCCUGGAUAGCAAGUGGAGUUGUAAGUGACCUUAAUGAUCUACGAAGAGUUCAUCAGUUGCUUGUCUCAUCAUUAACAAAAAUACAGGCUGGAAAAGAAGCUCUAAGUCACUUAUAUAAUGAAAGUGCUUCUACCAUGGAGAUCUUAGCUGUGCUUAAAGCCUGGGCGGAGGUCUAUAUAAUUACUGUGCAAAGACAUAAAAACCACAGACAAGCUUUGAAGACUACCACCUGUUUAGAAGACAGUAUCAGAUAUGGAUCAUGUUCAUCAGAUGGACUAUUUGACUUAGUCUGCUCAGAUCUUGGCACACUAAGCAGACUCUGGCUUGCUGCACUUCAGGAUUUUGCUCUUUUAACUUUGCCUUCAGAAUUUGCCUCCCAACUUCCUGCUGAAGGCGGUGCUUUCUACACAGCAGAGACUAGUGAAAAUGCAAAAUUGCAUUAUUACAACUCUUGGGCGCUUAUCCUCCAUGCUACGGCAUUGUGGCUUACAAGCACGGGCUUUGUUGUUGCUGACCCAGACGAAGGAGCAUCUAAUCUCUCCAGGCCUGUAACACCAACUUCCAUGUGUCAGGGUUCAUCAUCUGGGGCUACCAUAAAGUCCCCUGAGGAUGUCUACACUGAUAGAUUCCAUCUUAUUUUAGGAAUCAGCGUGGAAUUUCUAUGUUCCUUACGUUCAGACGCAACCAUGGAAAGCAUAACUGCUUGUUUACAUGCAUUGCAAGCACUUCUAGAUGUACCUUGGCCCAGAUCAAAAAUUGGCAGUAAUCAGGACUUGGGUAUAGAAUUGCUGAAUGUUCUACAUCGAGUAAUUUUGACCAGAGAAUCACCUUCUGUUCAAUUGGCUUCACUUGAAGUGGUAAUGCAGAUUAUCUGUGCUGCUCAAGAACAUGUGAAGGAAAAAAGACGAAGUGCAGAAGUUGAUGAUGGAGCUGCUGAAAAGGAAACUCUGCCAGAGUUUGGAGAGGGAAAGGACACUGGAGGACUUGUGCCUGGGAAGUCUUUGGUGUUUGCAACACUGGAAUUGUGUGUAUGCAUUCUAGUUAGACAGCUCCCAGAACUAAAUCCUAAAUUGACAGGUAGUCCAGGAGUAAAAGCUACAAAGCCACAGAUGCUAUCAGAGGAUGGAAGUAGAUUGGUUUCAGCUGCGUUGGUUAUCCUUUCUGAACUUCCUGCAGUGUGCUCUCCUGAAGGAAGCAUCUCAAUUCUCCCUACUAUAUUGUACCUCACAAUUGGGGUCCUCAGAGAGACUGCUGUGAAGUUACCUGGGGGCCAGUUAUCUUCAACAGUUGCAGCUUCCCUACAGGCUCUAAAAGGAAUAUUAUCUUCUCCAAUGGCCCAGGCAGAAAAGAGCCAUACUGCUUGGACUGACCUUCUUCGAAGUGCUUUAACAACAAUUCUUGACUGUUGGGAUCCAGGUGAUGAAACACACCAAGAACUUGAUGAAGUCAGUCUACUUACUGCUAUCACAGUGUUUAUUUUGUCUACCAGUCCAGAAGUAACUACCAUCCCAUGCCUUCAGAAGCGCUGUAUUGAUAAAUUUAAAGCUACUCUUGAGAUAAAAGAUCCUAUGGUACAAAUCAAGACUUACCAGCUCCUACAUUCCAUCUUUCAGUAUCCAAAUCCAGCUGUUUCCUACCCAUAUAUUUACUCUUUAGCAUCCUGUAUCAUGGAAAAACUACAGGAAAUAGACAAGAGAAAACCUGAAAACACUGCUGAGCUUCAGAUCUUCCAAGAAGGCAUAAAGGUCUUAGAAACACUGGUUACUGUUGCUGAAGAACACCAUCGAUCUCAGCUGGUGGCUUGUCUUUUGCCCAUCCUCAUUUCCUUCCUUUUGGAUGAAAAUGCUCUGGGAUCACCAACUUCCAUAAUGAGAAGUUUACAUGACUUUGCUCUGCAAAAUCUCAUGGAGAUUGGACCUCAGUAUUCAUCUGUUUUUAAAAGUUUAGUGGCUUCUUCUCCAGCCCUAAAAGCCCGCCUUGAGGCUGCUAUAAAGGGCAAUCAGGAAAGUGUCAAAGUCAAGAUACCAACAUCUAAAUAUACUAAGAGUCCUGGAAAAAAUUCAAGCAUCCAAUUAAAGACCAAUUUCCUCUGAUGUUAUUUUUUUGGAAUAGUAAGCACCUUAAUAUAAUACUUGAUCAUUUACUUCUCUUUGGGGACAAAAGUGACAUGUUAGGCACAAGUGCUCUUUGAGGUCUAGUUGAUUGUUUUACCUUAAAUAGCUGUGACUUUUCAAAGUAACAGCAUACUUAACAUUUUUUUUGUGUUGGUGGCGGGGGGGGGCCUAUGUUUUUUUUUCCAUUUAAGAAGACAAUGGAGCUAUCUUAUCAGGAAUUUUAAGAAAGUGCUAAAGACCUAAACUUACUAACCAAUUCACUGCUGUAAAAAUGAAAUGGAUUUCUUCUAACAGCCCAUACACAUGCGGCAUACUUAAUACUGUGAUAGAUAAAAAUAUGGCUCUAGCGUAAAUGAUCUGCACUAAUAUUGUAUCCCAAUUGCUGAUUUAAAAUUCUGCCUUGGCUGGGUGCCAUUGCUCAUAUCUAUGACCCCAGCACUUUGGGAGGCUGAGGCGGGUGGAUCAUGAAGUCAGGAGUUCAAGACAAGCUUGGCCAAGAUGCUGAAACCCCAUCUCUACUAAAAAUAGAAAAAUUAGCUGGGCACAGUAGCAGGUGCCUGUAAUCCCAGAUACACAGGAGGCUGAGGCAGGAGAAUCGCUUGAACAUGAGAGGCGAAGGUUGCAGUGAGCUAAGAUCGUCCUACUGCACUGCAGCCUGGGUGACAAGAGAAAGACUGCGUCUCUAAAUAAAUAAAUAUAAUAGUACAAAAUUACAGCUUUACAACAGUGUAACAUAAAAUUUGGUAUCUAUAUAACAGUUUUUCACCAUCCUUUGGUUUAGUUUUUAUUGGCUUCAGAAAAUGGAAGUUUUACUCAUCUUAAAUAGAAUAAGGCAUCUCCAGUAUUUUUCAAAGGGAUUUUUAUGUUACCUCUAUUUAACCAAUUUUGUUCACUUUC
This is a long non-coding RNA of Aotus nancymaae (Ma's night monkey), 3400 nucleotides long. The record is from Ensembl. NCBI's taxonomy places the organism in Eukaryota, Metazoa, Chordata, Mammalia, Primates, Aotidae.